Molecule: ribosomal RNA, 441 nt
Filed under: uncultured bacterium
Lineage: Bacteria
Description: partial 16S ribosomal RNA
Rfam family: Bacterial small subunit ribosomal RNA
Source: RNAcentral
CCUACGGGAGGCAGCAGUGGGGAAUAUUGGACAAUGGGGGAAACCCUGAUCCAGCGACGCCGCGUGAGUGAAGAAGUAUUUCGGUACGUAAAGCUCUAUCAGCAGGAAAGAAAAUGACGGUACCUGACUAAGAAGCCCCGGCUAACUACGUGCCAGCAGCCGCGGUAAUACGUAGGGGGCAAGCGUUAUCCGGAUUUACUGGGUGGAAAGGGAGCGUAGACGGCAGCGCAAGUCUGGAGUGAAAUGCCCGGGGCCCAACCCCGGAACUGCUCUGGAAACUGUGAAGCUGGAGUGCAGGAGAGGUAAGCGGAAUUCCUGGUGUAGCGGUGAAAUGCGUAGAUAUCAGGAGGAACACCGGCGGCGAAGGCGGCUUACUGGACUGUAACUGACGUUGAGGCUCGAAGGCGUGGGGAGCAAACAGGAUUAGAUACCCGAGUAGUC